This 107-nucleotide small nuclear RNA is filed under the name Sciurus vulgaris (Eurasian red squirrel). The record is from RNAcentral. Lineage: Eukaryota; Metazoa; Chordata; Mammalia; Rodentia; Sciuridae.
GUGCUUGCUUUGGCAGCACAUAUACUAAAACUGGAACGAUACAGAGAAGAUUAGCAUGGCCCCUGCUCAAGAAUGACAUGCAAAUUCAUGAAGCGUUCCGUAUUUUU